CGGUUCGCGCUUCCGCCGGCGACCGGCGCACAGGUGAGUAACACGUAUGGAACCUGCCCGCAGCAGGGGGAUAAUCGGGGGAAACCCCGUCUAAUACCGCGUAACGACCCGGAGGGGCAUCCCUUCGGGUCCAAAGGUUUACCGGCUGCGGAUGGCCAUGCGUCGCAUUAGCUUGUUGGCGGGGUAACGGCCCACCAAGGCGACGAUGCGUAGGGGUUCUGAGAGGAAGGUCCCCCACACUGGUACUGAGACACGGACCAGACUCCUACGGAAGGCAGCAG
RNAcentral lists this ribosomal RNA (281 nucleotides) under uncultured bacterium. RNAcentral describes it as "partial 16S ribosomal RNA". It matches the Rfam family "Bacterial small subunit ribosomal RNA", at positions 70 to 354 of the family's 1533-position model. The record is from RNAcentral.